This 76-nucleotide transfer RNA is filed under the name Plesiomonas shigelloides. RNAcentral's name for it is "tRNA-Val". It matches the Rfam family "tRNA". Rfam says of the family: Transfer RNA (tRNA) molecules are approximately 80 nucleotides in length. Their secondary structure includes four short double-helical elements and three loops (D, anti-codon, and T loops). Further hydrogen bonds mediate the characteristic L-shaped molecular structure. tRNAs have two regions of fundamental functional importance: the anti-codon, which is responsible for specific mRNA codon recognition, and the 3' end, to which the tRNAs corresponding amino acid is attached (by aminoacyl-tRNA synthetases). tRNAs cope with the degeneracy of the genetic code in two manners: having more than one tRNA (with a specific anti-codon) for a particular amino acid; and 'wobble' base-pairing, i.e. permitting non-standard base-pairing at the 3rd anti-codon position. Lineage: Bacteria; Pseudomonadati; Pseudomonadota; Gammaproteobacteria; Enterobacterales; Enterobacteriaceae. The record is from RNAcentral.
GGGCGAUUAGCUCAGCUGGGAGCGCACCUCCCUUACAAGGAGGGGGUCACUGGUUCGAACCCGGUAUCGCCCACCA